CUUGAGGGCAGCCUGAUGGAACUAGAAUUGUGUGGAUAGUCUACUAAUACCCUAUGGUAUUGAAGGUAGCAGAAUGUUUGAAAUAUGUUCAACGAAAUUUUGAGUUUGAAAGCGAUGGACACUAUGGUGCAGGAAUGAUUAUGAAAUGUGAGAAAAAAGGGCUUGCCAAUGGAUUUACUUAUUUAAUGCUUGUCAUUCUACUAUUUUCAUAUGAAUUGUGAUAAUACUGCUUAACUGUAAAGUAAGGGGUUGGCAGGGUUAGGAUUAUUCAACUGGGUGAAUUAUUACUUACGGAUACGUUGUAUCUUGGUAAAUCGGUUGCUUCGGCGAUCAAUUUGCCAGAGGGUGCAGAAUUCUAGGGUGGAGCAGUUUGACAUAGGAGGAAUACCAUGAGCGGAGACCGAGUAUGCUUGGGAUCUGUAUCAAGAUUAGAGCCGCUCUGAAGUUAUUUCAACAAAAUGUCAGAUUUUGUUUAGGUUAAUUAAGUAUUUUUUUUUUCCGAGUCAGUAUCUUUCAGGAGAAGUCGGCUCAAUGCUUAUCAGACAAAUGUUUACCUUUGAAUAAAAGCUCAGUAUUUUC
This is a long non-coding RNA of Rhododendron vialii, 579 nucleotides long. RefSeq lists it as uncharacterized. The transcript has 2 exons. Lineage: Eukaryota; Viridiplantae; Streptophyta; Magnoliopsida; Ericales; Ericaceae. The record is from RefSeq and is a predicted model, not a curated record.